Molecule: unclassified non-coding RNA, 564 nt
Filed under: Meyerozyma guilliermondii
Lineage: Eukaryota; Fungi; Ascomycota; Pichiomycetes; Serinales; Debaryomycetaceae
Description: sequence contains 18S rRNA gene, ITS1, 5.8S rRNA gene, ITS2, 28S rRNA gene
Rfam family: 5.8S ribosomal RNA (bases 211-364)
Source: RNAcentral
GUAACAAGGUUUCCGUAGGUGAACCUGCGGAAGGAUCAUUACAGUAUUCUUUUGCCAGCGCUUAACUGCGCGGCGAAAAACCUUACACACAGUGUCUUUUUGAUACAGAACUCUUGCUUUGGUUUGGCCUAGAGAUAGGUUGGGCCAGAGGUUUAACAAAACACAAUUUAAUUAUUUUUACAGUUAGUCAAAUUUUGAAUUAAUCUUCAAAACUUUCAACAACGGAUCUCUUGGUUCUCGCAUCGAUGAAGAACGCAGCGAAAUGCGAUAAGUAAUAUGAAUUGCAGAUUUUCGUGAAUCAUCGAAUCUUUGAACGCACAUUGCGCCCUCUGGUAUUCCAGAGGGCAUGCCUGUUUGAGCGUCAUUUCUCUCUCAAACCCCCGGGUUUGGUAUUGAGUGAUACUCUUAGUCGGACUAGGCGUUUGCUUGAAAAGUAUUGGCAUGGGUAGUACUAGAUAGUGCUGUCGACCUCUCAAUGUAUUAGGUUUAUCCAACUCGUUGAAUGGUGUGGCGGGAUAUUUCUGGUAUUGUUGGCCCGGCCUUACAACAACCAAACAAGUUGAC